UUCGCAAUGCCCGAAAGGGUGACGAAGCGACGCCGCGUGGGUGAGGAAGGCCUUCGGGUUGUAAAGCCCUGUCAGGAGUUAAGAAAUGUAGGUGUGCUAAUAUCGCAUUUACUUGACGAAGGCUCCAGAGGAAGUCACGGCUAACUCUGUGCCAGCAGCCGCGGUAAUACAGAGGUGGCAAGCGUUGUUCGGAAUUAUUGGGCGUAAAGAGCACGUAGGUGGGUUUGUAAGUCAGAUGUGAAAGCCUCCUGUUCAACGGGAGAAUUGCAUCUGAAACUACGAAUCUUGAGUGUAGGAGGGGAGAAUGGAACUUCUGGUGGAGCGGUGAAAUGCGUAGAUAUCAGAAGGAACGCCGGCGGCGAAAGCGAUUCUCUGGCCUAUUACUGACACUCAGUGUGCGAAAGCUAGGGGAGCAAACGGGAUUAGAUACCCCGGUAGUCCUAGCCGUAAACGAUGGGCACUAAGUAGAGGGGUUUU
RNAcentral lists this ribosomal RNA (477 nucleotides) under Candidatus Scalindua brodae. RNAcentral's name for it is "bacterial SSU rRNA". It matches the Rfam family "Bacterial small subunit ribosomal RNA", at positions 365 to 832 of the family's 1533-position model. Lineage: Bacteria; Pseudomonadati; Planctomycetota; Candidatus Brocadiia; Candidatus Brocadiales; Candidatus Scalinduaceae. The record is from RNAcentral.